AUUGAACGCUGGCGGCAUGCUUUACACAUGCAAGUCGAACGGCAGCGCGGGGGCAACCCUGGCGGCGAGUGGCGAACGGGUGAGUAAUGCACCGGAACGUAUCCUGUAAUGGGGGGAUAACGUAGCGAAAGUUACGCUAAUACCGCAUACGCUCGAGAGAGGAAAGUGGGGGAUCGCAAGACCUCACGUUAUAGGAGCGGCCGAUGUCCGAUUAGCUAGUUGGUGGGGUAAAGGCCUACCAAGGCGACGAUCGGUAGCUGGUCUGAGAGGAUGAUCAGCCACACUGGGACUGAGACACGGCCCAGACUCCUACGGGAGGCAGCAGUGGGGAAUUUUGGACAAUGGGCGAAAGCCUGAUCCAGCCAUGCCGCGUGCGGGAAGAAGGCCUCGGUUGUAACCG
Molecule: ribosomal RNA, 400 nt
Filed under: uncultured bacterium
Lineage: Bacteria
Description: bacterial SSU rRNA
Rfam family: Bacterial small subunit ribosomal RNA
Source: RNAcentral